Molecule: long non-coding RNA, 541 nt
Organism: Nannospalax galili (Upper Galilee mountains blind mole rat)
Lineage: Eukaryota; Metazoa; Chordata; Mammalia; Rodentia; Spalacidae
Exons: 3
Source: RefSeq, a predicted model, not a curated record
UGUGUAAUAGAAGCCAAAUAUGGAGCAGUUGGCUGCCGCCGCCGCAGCUCAAGGAUCCGACUUCAUGGGGGGGUGGGGGCACCCUCUGGCAGGCGGCCCGGCGAGCCGCACAGAGCGCGGCGAGCGCACCGCGCAGCGGCCGGCCCGCGCCCUUAACCCUUCAGUGCACCAGGCCCCCGGGAAGGCCGAACUGUAGCUCGGGAUCGGGGACGCCGGCCGGCCCGAGGGGACUGAGCCUUCCAGGUCCGGAAAUCUGCAGCGGGCACCGAACUUCUCAGCUCUAGCCCUGAGAGCCCAGCGGCUCACUCCUCUGGCAGCUAAUUCGGGAUCGUUCAUCGGAAGUGAGAAUGAACAUGCAGAAUGGAAGACCCUGUCAGCUGUGACACCAGUGAAUCAAGAGGAAGAAGACAAAUUAUCCACUCACACCCCUGAAGCCAAAAUCUUACUCUGCUAGCUGCACUGUCACAGCAGAGCUUUUCGUCUUUGCCAGAUAUUAAGAGAAAUUAAUACAUUGUAAUCGUAAUAAAUAUACAGUCAUGGA